Non-coding RNA from Vicia faba (fava bean), 291 nucleotides. Lineage: Eukaryota; Viridiplantae; Streptophyta; Magnoliopsida; Fabales; Fabaceae. The record is from the annotation of a GenBank genome assembly.
AUGUCUCCCUCAAUAAUCUCACAGGACCUAUACCACAAAAUGAGCAGUUUUCUACAUUUCAAGAAAAUUCAUUUGAGGGAAAACCAAGGUUUGUGUGGAGAUCAAUUGUCAAAGAAGUGUAUAGAUCAUCCAGGGCCUUCUUCCUCUGAUGGUGACCAUGACUCGGAAUCUUUCAUUGAAAUUGAGUGGAAAGUAAGUUUGAUUGGUUAUGCAGGUGGUCUUGUUGCUGGAGUGGCAUUGGGAACCACUUACAGCUCACAGGUACUUCGGUGGCUUAAAAGGUUCUUUUGA